UUGACAGCCCUGGAAAUUGAAGUUCCUUUUUUAUCUACAGAACAGGUACAGCAUGUACAGAGGCAGCAUAAACCUAGGCUGCUGAUGUGUCUGAGCUCCGUUCUCAGCUUAACAACCUGAAAGGAAGAGGGAAUAGGCCGUUCCUCACAGCCCUUCUGGGUUGCCUUGCU
This is an unclassified non-coding RNA of Apteryx haastii (Great spotted kiwi), 170 nucleotides long. NCBI's taxonomy places the organism in Eukaryota, Metazoa, Chordata, Aves, Apterygiformes, Apterygidae. The record is from Ensembl.